AUAUAUAUAUCAACCUUCUCUUUUUGAGUGGUUUGGAUGUGGGGGUUUGCUGGCCUUGUAAAGGGUUCAGCUCCCCUGAAAUGCAUUAGCAGAACAACCCUGUUCAUUGGUGUGAUAACUAUCUACGCUAUUGAAUGUAAGGGGGCAGUUCAGCUUUCUAACAGUCCUCGGACAAUUCAUCAUUA
This 185-nucleotide unclassified non-coding RNA is filed under the name Cortinarius casimirii. RNAcentral describes it as "partial internal transcribed spacer 2". RNAcentral also lists the same sequence under 1 other name. Lineage: Eukaryota; Fungi; Basidiomycota; Agaricomycetes; Agaricales; Cortinariaceae. The record is from RNAcentral.